RNAcentral lists this ribosomal RNA (253 nucleotides) under uncultured bacterium. RNAcentral describes it as "partial 16S ribosomal RNA". It matches the Rfam family "Bacterial small subunit ribosomal RNA", at positions 524 to 776 of the family's 1533-position model. The record is from RNAcentral.
UACAGAGGGUGCGAGCGUUAAUCGGAAUUACUGGGCGUAAAGCGCGCGUAGGCGGCUUUGCAAGUCGGGUGUGAAAUCCCCAGGCUUAACCUGGGAACUGCAUUCGAGACUGCAUUGCUAGAGUAUGGGAGAGGGAAGUGGAAUUUCCGGUGUAGCGGUGAAAUGCGUAGAUAUCGGAAGGAACAUCAGUGGCGAAGGCGGCUUCCUGGACCGGUUCUGACACUGAGGAGCGAAAGCGUGGGGAGCGAUCCGG